Molecule: ribosomal RNA, 497 nt
Filed under: uncultured bacterium
Lineage: Bacteria
Description: partial 16S ribosomal RNA
Rfam family: Bacterial small subunit ribosomal RNA
Source: RNAcentral
AUUGAACGCUGGCGGCAUGCCUUACACAUGCAAGUCGAACGGCAGCACGGGUGCUUGCACCUGGUGGCGAGUGGCGAACGGGUGAGUAAUAUAUCGGAACGUACCUUAUUGUGGGGGAUAACGCAGCGAAAGCUGUGCUAAUACCGCAUAAUCCCUAAGGGGGAAAGCGGGGGACCGUAAGGCCUCGCGCAAUUAGAGCGGCCGAUACCUGAUUAGCUAGUUGGUGAGGUAAAGGCUCACCAAGGCAACGAUCAGUAGCUGGUCUGAGAGGACGAUCAGCCACACUGGGACUGGAACACGGCCCAGACUCCUACGGGAGGCAGCAGUGGGGAAUAUUGGACAAUGGGCGAAAGCCUGAUCCAGCAAUGCCGCGUGAGUGAUGAAGGCCUUCGGGUUGUAAAGCUCUGUCGGAAGGAAAGAAAAAGCCAGCUAAUCACUGGUAUUGACGGUACCUUCAAAGGAAGCACCGGCUAACUCUGUGCCAGCCGCCGCGGUAA